CUACGGGCGGCAGCAGUGGGGAAUAUUGCACAAUGGGCGCAAGCCUGAUGCAGCCAUGCCGCGUGUAUGAAGAAGGCCUUCGGGUUGUAAAGUACUUUCAGCGGGGAGGAAGGGAGUAAAGUUAAUACCUUUGCUCAUUGACGUUACCCGCAGAAGAAGCACCGGCUAACUCCGUGCCAGCAGCCGCGGUAAUACGGAGGGUGCAAGCGUUAAUCGGAAUUACUGGGCGUAAAGCGCACGCAGGCGGUUUGUUAAGUCAGAUGUGAAAUCCCCGGGCUCAACCUGGGAACUGCAUCUGAGACUGGCAAGCUUGAGUCUCGUAGAGGGGGGUAGAAUUCCAGGUGUAGCGGUGAAAUGCGUAGAGAUCGGGAGGAAUACCGGUGGCGAAGGCGGCCCCCUGGACGAAGACUGACGCUCAGGUGCGAAAGCGUGGGGAGCAAACAGGAUUAGAUACCCCGGUAGUC
RNAcentral lists this ribosomal RNA (464 nucleotides) under uncultured bacterium. RNAcentral's name for it is "partial 16S ribosomal RNA". It matches the Rfam family "Bacterial small subunit ribosomal RNA", at positions 339 to 795 of the family's 1533-position model. The record is from RNAcentral.